Long non-coding RNA from Salvelinus sp. IW2-2015, 290 nucleotides. RefSeq lists it as uncharacterized. Lineage: Eukaryota; Metazoa; Chordata; Actinopteri; Salmoniformes; Salmonidae. The record is from RefSeq and is a predicted model, not a curated record.
UUCUGCAGAAUGGGACUUGUAUCGCUGUGUCUCAGUGUCCUUGUGUCUACCACGGCACCUCAUACACACAGGGACACACUCUGGAGCAGGGCUGCAGUGUCUGUGUGUGUAUGGGGGGAGUGUGGAACUGCACGGACAACAACUGUACAGCGGAGUGUUCAGUAGUAGGUGACGUGUUUGUGACAUCGUUCGAUGGAGGAUGUUCCUGCAGCCAGGGGAGUGUCAGUACGUCUUGGCCAAGAGCCGCAGCGGCAGCAGAUUCACUGUUACACUUGCAGUAUACCACCUGC